Molecule: ribosomal RNA, 734 nt
Filed under: uncultured bacterium
Lineage: Bacteria
Description: bacterial SSU rRNA
Rfam family: Bacterial small subunit ribosomal RNA
Source: RNAcentral
GUGGCGAACUGGGGAGUAACACGUGGGUAACCUGCCCUUGAAGUAGGGGAUAACACUUGGAAACAGGUGCUAAUACCGUAUAACAACCAAAACCACCUGGUUUUGGUUUAAAAGAUGGCUUCGGCUAUCACUUUAGGAUGGACCCGCGGCGUAUUAGCUUGUUGGUAAGGUAACGGCCUACCAAGGCAAUGAUACGUAGCCGACCUGAGAGGGUAAUCGGCCACAUUGGGACUGAGACACGGCCCAAACUCCUACGGGAGGCAGCAGUAGGGAAUCUUCCACAAUGGACGAAAGUCUGAUGGAGCAACGCCGCGUGAGUGAUGAAGGGUUUCGGCUCGUAAAACUCUGUUGUUGGAGAAGAACAGGUGUGAGAGUAACUGUUCACAUCUUGACGGUAUCCAACCAGAAAGCCACGGCUAACUACGUGCCAGCAGCCGCGGUAAUACGUAGGUGGCAAGCGUUGUCCGGAUUUAUUGGGCGUAAAGCGAGCGCAGGCGGUUUCUUAGGUCUGAUGUGAAAGCCUUCGGCUUAACCGGAGAAGUGCAUCAGAAACCAGGAGACUUGAGUGCAGAAGAGGACAGUGGAACUCCAUGUGUAGCGGUGAAAUGCGUAGAUAUAUGGAAGAACACCAGUGGCGAAGGCGGCUGUCUGGUCUGUAACUGACGCUGAGGCUCGAAAGCAUGGGUAGCGAACAGGAUUAGAUACCCUGGUAGUCCAUGCCGCAAACGAUGAGU